This 207-nucleotide ribosomal RNA is filed under the name uncultured bacterium. RNAcentral's name for it is "partial 16S ribosomal RNA". It matches the Rfam family "Bacterial small subunit ribosomal RNA", at positions 568 to 774 of the family's 1533-position model. The record is from RNAcentral.
CGCGUAGGCGGACCUUCAAGUCGGAUGUGAAAACUGGUGGCUUAACUGCCAGCCUGCAUUCGAUACUGUCGGUCUUGAGUACAGAAGGGGAAAGUGGAAUUCCAGGUGUGGCGGUGAAAUGCGUAGAUAUCUGGAAGAACACCAGUAGCGAAGGCGACUUUCUGGUCUGAUACUGACGCUAAAGCGCGAAGGCUAGGGUAGCAAACA